RNAcentral lists this ribosomal RNA (404 nucleotides) under Verrucomicrobiota bacterium. RNAcentral's name for it is "Verrucomicrobia bacterium partial 16S ribosomal RNA". It matches the Rfam family "Bacterial small subunit ribosomal RNA", at positions 355 to 776 of the family's 1533-position model. The record is from RNAcentral. Lineage: Bacteria; Pseudomonadati; Verrucomicrobiota.
UGGGGAAUAUUGCACAAUGGGGGAAACCCUGAUGCAGCGACGCCGCGUGAGCGAUGAAGGCUUUCGAGUCGUAAAGCUCUGUCCUAUGGGAAGAUAAUGACGGUACCAUAGAAGAAAGCCCCGGCUAAUUACGUGCCAGCAGCCGCGGUAAUACGUACGGGGCGAGCGUUGUCCGGAAUUAUUGGGCGUAAAGAGUGCGUAGGCGGCAAAUUAAGUCAGAUGUGAAAACUAAGGGCUCAACCCAUAGAUUGCAUCUGAAACUGAUAUGCUUGAGUCAAGGAGAGGAAAGUGGAAUUCCUAGUGUAGCGGUGGAAUGCGUAGAUAUUAGGAGGAAUACCGGUGGCGAAGGCGACUUUCUGGACUUGAACUGACGCUGAGGCACGAAAGCGUGGGGAGCAAACAGG